ACUUACCAUGCAGUUCUUGCCACCCUUCUAUGUCUACUUAAUUAUUCACUAAAUCUGUUUGUAGCCUCCUGUUCUUGGAGUUGGGUAAAGGAAUCAUAACAAAGACCCUUUAAAUAAGGCUUGCCAUCAUCGGAGAUACUGAAACACAAAGGCAAGCCCCAUUUAUGCCUUGGCUGGAAUCAUCCUGUCCUAUUUUCUGGCUAGUUAAUUGAUCACGCUCUGGAGAUUGGAGCCAGGUAAGUUGCAGGAAGAGGUCUGAGUCACUGACAGGGGGGCUGUGCAGUAAGCUGGUCUGAGAAUGAAUGCCACAGAGACUCAAUCAGGCAGAGAGCAGGAGGCUCCUGCAGGGCAACCUGAGAGGAAGCAGGGUGGUGCCAGACAGAGGGACAGCUGACUUCCAGCUUCCUCAGUAAUUUUGCUUAGGGCUGGCUUUGUGUGUGUGUAAAUCACUCAGAUAAUUGCUGUAAUUCUGUGCUUAGCUUGGCUGCUUAGACCCUGGGUUCAUGAAUAUUCAUGAGAUCUAUCCACACCACACUAUUACUUAAAAUUUCCUAGACAGCUUUCAUGCUGAGAGUGCCAGCUUGUUUGUGCUGAGAAGAAGAUGGCCAUGAUUUUCUCGUCUGAGUGGGAGUGAGCUGACUGUGGUCGGAUGCUUCCCUGACUGUCCACCGACGUAAUGGCAAGAAGUAGCUCGAUGUGUCCGCAUGGCACACUUCUCUGCAGUCUUCAUCCAGAUUUUUCCUUCUGUAUUUGCCUGAUCAAAACCUGCAUCAAGCACAGGGUCUCUGGCACCCAAGACAAGGUGACCAUGCAGUGGGUCCCAUGGUCCACUCAGGAGACAACGGGAUGGCCUAUCAGGAUAGCAAAGCAUGCAAAGGCUUUGGGCACUGUCUGCCAAGUCAAAAUGGGGUGCCUAAAACUAAGAAGGGCUGGCAAUUCAAGUGCAGCCAUGCUUGAGUCUUUAAAUGAACCCAUGUUAGAUAUGCCAUUUAUGGAGGAGAGUGAUCAUCUGCAAUGGGGAGAAGAGUUAUUGGAAUGUCAUUAUGUAUGUUUGCACACAUCGCCCUAUAGCUAGACAACUCCAUGGAUUUACUAUCGUGGACUUGAAGAGUGUGUGGUUCUGUCUGUGUUAAGGAGCUCCGGAAAGAUGGUUCUGAUGGAAGAGGCAUCAGAGUGGAUCAGAGAUAUGAGUCAUCUCCCAGUCAAGGAGCUGAAGAAAGCUGAGAUCUCUGGAGGAAGAUGACCACACUUGGAAUGCCUUUCUGAGGGUGUGAAGAGCAGAGACAUCUUCCUCCGGGUGAGAGACAUCAUCUGAAGGAGUACGGCAGAGACAUGGCUAUUUGAAAUAUAGACUCUUAACUAAGAAUUCUUUGGCCAUCCUGUUUUCCUGAAGGAAGGCUGGCUGGAUCUCAGCCUGUUGCACAGAGAUCAACCUGUCUGCUAAACCCGAGGCUCAGGAACUCUCUAGAAAUGGUUACUCUAUCACACCAUGCAAGAAACAACCUGAAUAAAAAAACUGCUUCUCUGUCCAUGGUUAUUCCCGAAGUGUGUGCUGGAGUCAAUGUGUUACAAUGAGUGAGAAUUCACAUUUGCACUUAGUGGUGUGCUCUGGGAGUUUGCAUGGUUGAGGAGAAAGUGGAGGAUCUAAAGGAUGCCUAGGACUGUGGAUGAAGUUAUACCUAAACAAGAGGCCUGGAAGACUGCUUUGAAAUAUAUUUAGAAGGGGAUACUAUGAGAUACUGGGCUAAUAUUACGCCUGCGCGAGUAAAGGGAUGAGGUAAAGAAGAAUAGCGUGUGGGCAAUGAUUCAGAUCCCACCUACCAGUAGAGCCCUUUGUGUUAUAGACAAGGGGAAGUCUUGUCUUGGUGAGUUUGAAUUUUCUUCAGACAUUUCAGUUGGGGUUACUGAGCCAUUUGUGAUUUUUCUUCAUUUGAAUUUCAAAGGAAAGACCAUGUUGGAGAUUUUGAUUUAGGGACCAUGAGACUAUAUAUUAUUAUUGAAGUCUGGGGGAAAGAAGUAAUCAUGAAUGACUCAAGAGGGGGCAUGGAAGAAGCUUGGAAUUGAGACGUGGAAGCACCACUGUAUAAAGGGAAAGGGGAGCUGGAGAGAUACUGCAGUGGGUAAAGUGCUUGCGUUGCAAGCAAAAGAAUCUGAGUCUUAUCUGCAGAACCCAUCGGGCAUGGCACACACCUGUAAUCCCAGCUCUGGAGAGGCAGGGGCAGGUAGAUGUCCCAGCACUCCCUUGAGAGUAUAGCUUAGUCCUGCCUACUUGAUAGCUUCCAAGUCAGUAAAAGAAUCUUAAAAAGCAAGGUAGAAGGCAUCUGAAGAAUGACCUCUGACAUAAGUAUGCAAACACACACACACACACACACACACACACACACACACACACACACACCCUACUGGGGUGAAAGUCAUGCAUGUAAAUUCCUGAGUUUUUACACAUAUACUGAGAAUGCUAACUUGAGCUCUCAGGCUUAUGCAUUAAGAGCUCUUACCCACAGAUUCAAUUUCCCAGUCCCUGUAGCUAUAGCUGUGUACUAGAGGCUCUAUAAACAUGUCCCCAAAGAUUUCUUAAUUGGUUGUCUGUUACAUUUUAUUGUAAAGACUGGGUGGGGGUACUUGUUAUUUUGUAUAUCAGAGGCUUGUUUAUCAAUCAGCAACCCCACCUGAAUUGAAAGAUCAGGCUUAACUACAGAGUACCUUGGGUACCCAUGACCUUAUGUGUGGUGUGCUGAAGUCCGCACUACAUCAUUUCCAUUGCACAGCUUUGCCUGGCAUGAAAAGUGCAUUUGAAUUCACACCCCCACUUAUCAAACCCCAUACUGUGUGCUGACAUAGCCCAGGGUGAACCAGAGUCCAUUGCCACUGCCUUUGCUCGUAACCAGUUUCACUUGAGCUUUUCCAAGGUCAAUAUCCCUCACUGGGAUUGGAGCUCCCAAUGGACAUGAGGUUUCAAAGAAUUCUACCAUGGGACACAAGCAAAUGAAUGAAAAUAGUCCUGGCUUGUUCACAAGGCAGGCUUCUGGGACCCAUCCCAGGUCUGUUGACUCUAGCUAGAUCCAGGAAAGCUUUGGGGGGGGUACCCAAGGCUUAGCUAUUCUGAAGCCUGUGUCUAAUCCAUAUUUUGAAACUUGCUGGUGUGCAGACUCACUUAGAGCCUGGAGCUUCACAGCUCUGUGAACAUUUGGCUUGCUUUGCGUUUCAUUUCCCAAAUUGUUCGCUCUUCUCCUCUUUCUUUGUCUUUCAGCACUGGAGAAUGUUCAGACUGUGAGAUUUGGUGUUGAAAAGGGUUGAUGCCAAUUGGAAUUUGUGUUAUUAUACUGUUUCAUGCACUUAAUUCCUGUUGAGACUUUAAGUGCGGGCAGCUGGAUCACUAUCCCAGGUGCAAUGUCUUACGAAAUGUUGACAUAUUUCCUGUCCAUGAGACAUGGAAGCCCAGCUGCAGUGGAGCCAACAAGUCCGCAGCUACAUUUUGCUACCCUUGGGUGGUGACCACCUCAGAAGAUAUGUAAACCCCAAAGCUGGCAGGGUGGGAGCAGUUGAGGGUCUCAGACAUACUCUCUAGGGCUCGAGCAACUGGAAGAAAGAAUGCUUUCUUCUAGAUUAGACAUAUUCAAAUUUCAAAUAUUGUAUCUUAGGAAAAAACAGAGGCAGUGCAGAAGCUUAACGACCCACAGAAAUGCCUAUGGAAACCACAGAGGAUUUACAGGAGAAUGGAGAGUCUAGGUCUAUGUGGCUCUUUUUGGGAUUUCCCCGGCCUCCAAAGCUAAAGUCUAUCGGUCUUCAAGAUUUCUGUCUCUCCUAAUCAUUUAAAACCUCAUCACUUCAGUAUCAGUAAUGACGAAUUGGCCUUUUCUAUUUUAGUGAGAAAUUUGUUAUAUAUUCAUAGCUGGGAGGGGGUAUGUAAUCUGAGUUAGGGAUAAAGGACAGUCACAUAGAUGACCAAAAGUUCCAUGGCUAAAGAUAAGGUGAAAAAUUUCAUGAAAGAAUGAGUCCUGAGUGUCAGAAAAGAUACACCUAGGUUCUUGCCAGGACCCAAAAGAUAGAGACAGAAGGGAAGAAAAAUAAAAUGUUAUAGGAGGACUCAGUAAGGUAGGAAAAGCCAACAGAACCUCAUGGCAGCUGUCUUAGUAACUUAUCUGUUGCUGCGAAAAAGCACCAUGGCCAAAGCAACUUACAGAAGAAGCCGUUCAUUUGGGCUUAUAGUUGCAGAGGGUUAAAAUUCAUGAUGGCGGAGUGGAAUCCUGGUGACAGGAAGCAGGUAUGGUGAGUGGGGAGCUGAGGAGGACACACAUCUUGAACCACAAGCAAGAAACAGAAAGAAAGAGAGCAGGCUAAAGGGAGAGUCUUUUAAACACCCAGAGUGCUUCCCCAGUGACACACUUCCUCUAGCAAGGUCACGCCUCCCAAACCUCCCAAAUAGCCAUUGGUAUGGCACUGGGUACUCAAAUACAGGAGCCGACUGGGGACAUCUUUUCAUCUAUUUCCAACAACGACAGCAGCUCAUGUGGGUUGCGCUGGAAGUAGGGAAUUCUGACAAGGAAAGAUAUAUUAUCUCAUUAAAGAGAUAAUUAUUCUUCCAAUUUCUCAAGCAUGAAUUAAUCCAAUUGGGCAGUUCCAGCAGCUGGCAAAGGGACCACCCCCGAGGAAAGCUGGGCAACCCUUAGGAAGGUGGAUCUUCUAUGAACUAGCUUUUAAUAUGUGUGAAUUUGAGCCUGCAGAGGGGCUUCAUAAGCUAAAAUCCUGUCACUAACUUAUAAGAGGCUGUGGUGGUACAAAUACCUGAACACCUAGAGCUGAUUGUGUUGCUGAGUGCAGAGCAGGAAUGUGCCCCUCGGUGCUGUCACUGGAUUAGAGAUUAGAGUGAAGGGAAUCCUGGAGCUGCUGCUUCUGUUUCUAUUAUUGCUUUUGUUGUCAACCCUAGGGGGGAAAAAAAAAUAAAACAACCUAGCACAUUGUGCUGAACUUAAAUUUAGCCUUCUCCUUUGAAAUCAAAUGAUGGUCAUGAAUGCUGGAAUUUUGUGUUCAGAAAAUUCCUGUCUAUGAUUCAUGUUGCUAAAAGUGUGCUUUUCCAGCUUAGAAUUUAGCUCCAAUCUAUGGAAGAAGUAAGAAGUAGCCAUGCUGAGCUCUUAUCACCAAGGAAAGUUCCCAAGACCACACUGCGCCACCAGCCUCAUUCUCCACUGGCAAACUUUCUUCAAUAGAAGCCAUUGUGGAAUCUGUAUGCUGAUGGAAAUCCUGCAAGCGCGACACUUACCUCAAAUCAACACUGGUAUUUGUAGUCAUGAUACUCCAGUCAAGGCACGGCUUCCUUAUUAAUAAGAAUUCAGUGAACUAGAGAAUAGAUAAUCGCAAUGAUAUGUUCUCCUUUAAAUCACAAUGCCAUUGGUUCUGAGAGUAAAGGAGUGGGUUUUGUUGUGUUUUGUUUUGUUUUGUUCGAGAGUAAAUUUGCUUUCUCCUACAAGUGAGUUCAGAGCAAAGGCUGUAUCUGUGCAACUGUGUUAACUUCUCAUUUUAAAUAAUGAAAUUGUUGCUGCUCUUGCUUAUUCUCAGGUCCCAAUGCAGUUGCUUCCAUUCUCAGCCAAGAACAUCAUUAUUAGGCUGGUAAGGAAAAACCAUUGCACUCAUAGGCUGGAGGAAGCAGAGGAGGGGAGGUCCAAGCUAUCAGCUCCAUGGGUUAGUGCCACAGCUAAUGCUCUGAGCUCCUACUUCCUGGUGCCUUUUGCUUCCUACAGCCUUGAUCAGCUCAACUCUCAGGUGAGGGUGGGGGGAGGGGACUUUUUAUAUCUAUAGAGGCAGUUUCUGUGAAGAGGUGCUGUGACCUGUAGCACCUCUGUGACCAUGUCUGAGACCCCCUGCUCUUAAGAGUUCAUUAGGAAACCAUGAAGCAGGAGGCAGCUUCUCCAGUUCCCCCUAUGUAUUUUGAAUCCUUGAUAAUCCAGCUGUGGAUGAGGUGCAGGGGACUGGCAGGUUCCUGAUGGAUGCUUUCCGCAUCGUAAUUCCUCAGCCCAUAGCUCAUCAGACCCAGAAGGGAUUGCCCCUGAGAGCCAUUCAGGGCUGAAUAAGCCCUGGCUCAUAGCACAGGUGGGCUCCCCAUAUUAGAAGUGAGGUCCCUAUUCUGCCCAUGAGAGAGCUAUUGGUGCUGGGACCAUUUCAUGGCACAGCUGUUCUGGAAUAAACCUGUGUUUUAAUCUCGGAGCUAUUCCUAUCUCUCCCUCUGCCCAUUUGGGAAUGUGUCUCUUUAAAAAGGGCACAGAACUGAACACUUUAGAUUCUAACUGCAAAUGCUAUUUCUACUAAGUACAUGUAUAUCCUCUCUUCAUUUUUAUUUAUGUCCUUGUUUCCGAGGAAUAAUCAGUUUGAGACUCAUCAACACAAUAAAACCCAGAGAGACAGCCAGAGGCAAAUUCAGUUUGGGGGGUGGGGGUGGGUUUAGAAAAGACCCAUCAUCUCCAAGCCCCUCGAUUCGUAUUUAUCUCUUCUUGUAAGGCACAAUACCAGGAAGCUCAUGCAAUCCCUGGAAAGAAGCUCUUGAUACAGAAUGACAAGGCUCUGUGCCUCCAGGGGUCUUCGAUCAUAGAUUUUCAUCAUCAUCUGAAAUGGUCCCUCUCCUCCUCUCUGCUUGGCACUCACUCUCCCAAAGAGAGGAGACAGGCUUCCCAUAGGGGCCACCCAAACUCAUUCUGCUCAGCAAAGGCUCAUCAUGGGCUUCCUCAUUUCUCUGGGCGAGCAAGCUGCUUGCCUCUCCUCCCCUCCAGGCUACUAGCCAGGCUGAAGGGAAGCCUGCCAGGGUGCACAGGGAAGCUCCCACAGUGGGGUGGGCUGCUCCCUCCCAGGGACUGUUGUCCUGUGCAGUUGUGUGUGUGUGUGUGUGUUGCUUUCUCCAGUCUGCUCUUAAUCAUGUUGGUAUUAAAAAUGGAUUCCGAGGAGCAUUCCCCAAAGGAGUUUGUUGUGCUCACUACUCUUCUGCUUUGAAGAGAGCCCCACCAUCCUUGUAUCCAGCCUCCCCAAGCAGCCAAGCCGACAGAACAGGGACGGCUGUAGUUCUAGACUCGGGCAGACUACCAACAGCUGCACAGUUAAUUAUGGCGCUCUCCCUCUCUUUAAAAAAAUCUCAGCUUUAGAAAUGAAAGAUAAGAAAUUCUUUGGAGUAAUUAGAGACUGCUGAGCGCUCAUGGUAAUAAUGAGGGACUACUUUCAGACUGAUUCACAGCAGGAAGAGGCAGGGAGAGUCGGUGAUGCAGGUUAAAAAAAAAUAAUUAAAAUCAGCUUUGCUACUAUCUCGGCGGAGCUGUCAGUCAGCCUCAGAGAGAAAAGAAUUGCUAAUGAAAUAUUAAUAUGCCGCCUUGGAUUUCCCAUAACCGCCUUUGUUCCCAGGUACUGUUCCCAUUUGUAAGGCAAAGGGGUUAGGUGUGAAAGGGCACGGGAGCCAGCUUGGUCAAGGAGGAAAUGAGAACUCUCUGACAUGGAAAACACUUGGCCUCAGAAAGGAUGCACUGGAGCCUAGUAGGAGCAGCCUGCAACCUGGUCCCAGCCUGGAGCCUGGCCACACUGCCCCAGCUGCUGUGUGCUUGAAGGAGCAACGCCUUCGCCCCCUCCCCAUCCCCCGCCUCUCUCCCCAACCCAGGUUGACAGACACUGAAUGUCAGCAAUCAUCAUGGCACAACCAGUGCAAGUUUUAUAAUAUCUCUAAGUGGUUUUGAAGUCUGCAGAUGCCAGACGGUUUCAAAAUCUCACAGAAAUUGUAUCGUGCAGGUUGUCUUCAGACAAGACGCAGCCCCCGAUGUCUUUUUGUUCCAUUAAGUCAAUCACUCAGAGCUAUGAUACAAACUAUAUGACAGGGUUGGGAAGCCUUGUGUGUGAAGAUGUGUGUGCAUGAAUAUGCUUAUAUGUGCCUUGUGUGAGCAUAUCCUGAAAUCACCCCAGCAUUCAAAGGUUCUUCAGAAGCUUGAAAUACAUUCUGUGAGAAAUGGUUCAGAUACCCACUGUGUGUCAGAGUGUGUCCAGAAGCUGAAAUGCCAAAAAGGUGAGGACUGGUCACACAGAGCCUGCAGCAGGGAUACCCAUGAGAAGCCUUUCUUAAGGGUGCAUCUUGGUUUUUUGCCUAGCUUCAAUGAAAUCUGGGAGACUAAGGAAGAGCAUCUGAGGGAAAUACUGGGUGAUUUUAUCUGAAGUUGGACACAAGGCAAAUAAGAUAUGCAUGGCAAGUGGAAAUGGCAAUGCUAACAACAAUAAUAAUUGUAAUAAUAAACUUUUAAGCCUGAGGACAGAAGCCAGUGAUAGCUUAGUUCCAGCACUGUCUCCUGGAGCUGGCUUCUCAUCACUGUGAAAUGAACAGAGGCUCCCUCAGUCCUGUUGGAGUCUGUGAUCUGAGCAGAUUUGUUUGUUUGUUUGUUUGUUUUGUUUUUUGAGACAGGGUUUCUCUGUGUAGCCCUGGCUGU
This is a long non-coding RNA of Mus musculus (house mouse), 8444 nucleotides long. RefSeq annotates it as predicted gene, 30290. The transcript is spliced from 3 exons. Lineage: Eukaryota; Metazoa; Chordata; Mammalia; Rodentia; Muridae. The record is from RefSeq and is a predicted model, not a curated record.